Molecule: ribosomal RNA, 479 nt
Filed under: Malbranchea cinnamomea
Lineage: Eukaryota; Fungi; Ascomycota; Eurotiomycetes; Onygenales; Malbrancheaceae
Description: LSU rRNA
Rfam family: Eukaryotic large subunit ribosomal RNA
Source: RNAcentral
ACCUUGAAAAGGGAGUUAAACAGCACGUGAAAUUGUUGAAAGGGAAGCGCUUGCAGCCAGACUCGGGCGCGGGGGUUCAGCGGGCACGCGUGCCCGUGCACUCCCCCGCGGCCGGGCCAGCAUCGGUUCGGGCGGCCGGUCAAAGGCCCCGGGAAUGUGUCGCCCUCCGGGGCGUCUUAUAGCCCGGGGUGCAAUGCGGCCAGCCUGGACCGAGGAACGCGCUUCGGCUCGGAUGCUGGCGUAAUGGCUGUCAGCGACCCGUCUUGAAACACGGACCAAGGAGUCUAACAUCCACGCGAGUGUUCGGGUGUCAAACCCGUGCGCGCAGUGAAAGCGAACGGAGGUGGGAUCCCCGCAAGGGGCGCACCAUCGACCGAUCCUGAUGUCUUCGGAUGGAUUUGAGUAAGAGCGUGGCUGUUGGGACCCGAAAGAUGGUGAACUAUGCCUGAAUAGGGCGAAGCCAGAGGAAACUCUGGUGG